GAAGAACGCUGGCGGCGUGCCUAAUACAUGCAAGUCGAGCGAACAGACGAGGAGCUUGCUCCUUUGACGUUAGCGGCGGACGGGUGAGUAACACGUAGGUAACCUACCUAUAAGACUGGGAUAACUUCGGGAAACCGGAGCUAAUACCGGAUAAUAUUUCGAACCGCAUGGUUCGAUAGUGAAAGAUGGUUUUGCUAUCACUUAUAGAUGGACCUGCGCCGUAUUAGCUAGUUGGUAAGGUAACGGCUUACCAAGGCAACGAUACGUAGCCGACCUGAGAGGGUGAUCGGCCACACUGGAACUGAGACACGGUCCAGACUCCUACGGGAGGCAGCAGUAGGGAAUCUUCCGCAAUGGGCGAAAGCCUGACGGAGCAACGCCGCGUGAGUGAUGAAGGUCUUCGGAUCGUAAAACUCUGUUAUUAGGGAAGAACAAACGUGUAAGUAACUGUGCACGUCUUGACGGUACCUAAUCAGAAAGCCACGGCUAACUACGUG
This 497-nucleotide ribosomal RNA is filed under the name uncultured bacterium. Its description in RNAcentral is "partial 16S ribosomal RNA". It matches the Rfam family "Bacterial small subunit ribosomal RNA", at positions 28 to 507 of the family's 1533-position model. The record is from RNAcentral.